RNAcentral lists this ribosomal RNA (497 nucleotides) under uncultured bacterium. Its description in RNAcentral is "partial 16S ribosomal RNA". It matches the Rfam family "Bacterial small subunit ribosomal RNA", at positions 28 to 507 of the family's 1533-position model. The record is from RNAcentral.
GACGAACGCUGGCGGCGUGCCUAAUACAUGCAAGUUGAGCGAUGAAGAUUGGUGCUUGCACCAAUUUGAAGAGCAGCGAACGGGUGAGUAACGCGUGGGGAAUCUGCCUUUGAGCGGGGGACAACAUUUGGAAACGAAUGCUAAUACCGCAUAACAACUUUAAACAUAAGUUUUAAGUUUGAAAGAUGCGAUUGCAUCACUCAAAGAUGAUCCCGCGUUGUAUUAGCUAGUUGGUGAGGUAAAGGCUCACCAAGGCGAUGAUACAUAGCCGACCUGAGAGGGUGAUCGGCCACAUUGGGACUGAGACACGGCCCAAACUCCUACGGGAGGCAGCAGUAGGGAAUCUUCGGCAAUGGACGAAAGUCUGACCGAGCAACGCCGCGUGAGUGAAGAAGGUUUUCGGAUCGUAAAACUCUGUUGGUAGAGAAGAACGCUGGUGAGAGUGGAAAGCUCAUCAAGUGACGGUAACUACCCAGAAAGGGACGGCUAACUACGUG